UCCUCGGUAGCUCAGUCGGUAGAGCAAGCGGCUGUUAACCGCUGGGUCGUAGGUUCGAGUCCUACCGGGGGAG
RNAcentral lists this transfer RNA (73 nucleotides) under Planctomycetales bacterium. RNAcentral's name for it is "tRNA-Asn". It matches the Rfam family "tRNA". From Rfam's summary of the family: Transfer RNA (tRNA) molecules are approximately 80 nucleotides in length. Their secondary structure includes four short double-helical elements and three loops (D, anti-codon, and T loops). The record is from RNAcentral. Lineage: Bacteria; Pseudomonadati; Planctomycetota; Planctomycetia; Planctomycetales.